UCAGGAUGAACGCUGGCGGCGUGCCUAACACAUGCAAGUCGAACGAGCGAGAGAUGAAACCUAGUGAUUCUCGAGCGAGUGGCGGACGGGUGAGUAACGCGUGGGUAACCUGCCUUACAGAGGGGGAUAACAGUCUGAAAAGACUGCUAAUACCGCAUAAGCACACAGUACCGCAUGGUACAGGGUGAAAAGAUUUAUCACUGUAAGAUGGACCCGCGUCUGAUUAGCCAGUUGGCAGGUAACGGCCUACCAAAGCGACGAUCAGUAGCCGACCUGAGAGGGUGAUCGGCCACAUUGGGACUGAGACACGGCCCAAACUCCUACGGGAGGCAGCAGUGGGGGAUAUUGCACAAUGGAGGAAACUCUGAUGCAGCGAACCGCCGCGUGAGUGAAGAAGUAUUUCGGUAUGUAAAGCUCUAUCAGCAGGGAAGAUAAUGACAGUACCUGACCAAGAAGCCCCGGCUAACUACGUGCCAGCCGCUGC
RNAcentral lists this ribosomal RNA (484 nucleotides) under uncultured bacterium. RNAcentral describes it as "bacterial SSU rRNA". It matches the Rfam family "Bacterial small subunit ribosomal RNA", at positions 24 to 518 of the family's 1533-position model. The record is from RNAcentral.